UACAGGGGGUGCAAACGUUGCUCGGAAUUAUUGGGCGUAAAGCGCGCGUAGGCGGCUACUUAAGUCGGAUGUGAAAGCCCUUGGCUCAACUGAGGAAGUGCACCCGAAACUGAGUGGCUAGAGUACGAAAGAGGGUCGCGGAAUUCCCGGUGUAGAGGUGAAAUUCGUAGAUAUCGGGAGGAACACCGGUGGCGAAGGCGGCGACCUGGGUAGAUACUGACGCUGAGGCGCGAAAGCGUGGGGAGCAAACAGG
This 253-nucleotide ribosomal RNA is filed under the name uncultured bacterium. RNAcentral describes it as "partial 16S ribosomal RNA". It matches the Rfam family "Bacterial small subunit ribosomal RNA", at positions 524 to 776 of the family's 1533-position model. The record is from RNAcentral.